Molecule: long non-coding RNA, 1826 nt
Organism: Eriocheir sinensis (Chinese mitten crab)
Lineage: Eukaryota; Metazoa; Arthropoda; Malacostraca; Decapoda; Varunidae
Exons: 3
Source: RefSeq, a predicted model, not a curated record
CUCUCUCUCUCUCUCUCUCUCUCUCUCUCUCUCUCAUGGGUAUCUCGUCGGUGUCUGCAAAGGAUUAGGUCAGCCACGUCAUCAUCAUCAUCAUCAUCGUCAUCAUCAUCAUCAUCAUCAUUAAACAGUAGUCGUAUAUAGUCUAUGGUACACACACAUACACCAAUUAGUUCGUACGUCCGCCACCAGUUGUAACGUCCACCUCUGUUUAAUGCGCAGUACGUGUCAUGAUAUAGUCUUGUGAUAAUGAUGUGUUGUCUUCUGGUAAUAACACUGAGAGAUCCUUCAGUCACAUCCUGCGGCCAUAUCGAUGUCAGUAAUGCGCGGUUGGUAUCAUGAUAGAAGCUGACGAUUAUGGUGAUGAUGUGUUGUCUUCAGGUAAUAUGAGUGAUAAGAGAUCCUUCUGUCAGGUCCUGUUCUCUUAUCUGUUUAUGGGUCCACAAUCACGGCUGGACUUUGGUUGUUUGAGUCCAGAGGUGCAUCUUGGCUUCUUACGGUUACUGGGCUACAUUGAAGUUUAGGCUCAAGUUUAGGUUUUGGACUUACGUGUUUGUUUGAUUAGUUUUGUUUUGGUUAGGUUUAGGGUUUAGGUUGAGUUAGUAAGAUUAGGUUAGCUUUUUAUGGUUACUGGCCUAGAUUGAAGUUUAGGCUCAAGUUUAGGUUUUGGACUUAAGUGUUUGUUUGAUUAGUUUUGUUUUGAUUAGGUUAAGUUUAGGGGUUAGGUUGAGUUAGUAAGAUUAGGUUAGCUUCUUAUGGCUACUGGGCUAUUGAAGUUUAGGCUUAAGUUUAGGUUUUGGACUUAGGUGUUGGUUUGAUAAGCUUUGUUUUGGUUAGGUUAAGUUUAGGGUUUAGGUUGAGUUAGUAAGAUUAGGUUAACUUCUCGUAUUCGUUUUAUAUUUCGUUUUAUAUUUCAUUCUUGUUUGUUUGAUUAGCUUUGUUUUGGUUAAGUUAAGUUGGUUGAGUUAGUAAGAUUAAAUUAACUUCUCGUAUUGGUUUCAUAUUUUAUCGAUUUCUUCAUAUGAUGUUCUUCUUUGCAAUAUUUUUUUUUCUUCUAUUUUUCUUUUGGUCUUGAGAUGCUUGUGUUUACUGACGAAUUGAAAUGGGAAGGGACAACAGUUUCUUUGGUUACGCUGGAUUAUAAUUAGGUUUACGCUGGGUUAGAAUUAGGUUUUUGGGUUUUAUUAGGUUAGAAUUAGGUUUUUGGGUUUUAUUAGGUUAGAAUUAGGUUUUUGGGUUUUAUUAGGUUAGAAUUAGGUUUUUGGGUUUUAUUAGGUUAGAAUUAGGUUUAUGGGGCUUAUUAGGUGAGAAUUAGGUUUAUGGGGCUUAUUAGGUGAGAAUUAGGUUUACGUUAGAAUUAGGUUUAAGCUGGGUUAGAAUUAGGUUUAUAUUAACUUUACUUAGGUUUGGUUUUAGGCUAGUUUACGUCAGGCUAGGUUCAUCUUCCUAUAGUUGUUUGCGUCUGUUUGUUUCUCUCUCUCUCUCUCUCUCUCUCUCUCUCUCUCUCUCUCUCUCUCUCAUGGCUACUCUUCUUCAGAUCUUGCUCGUGGCCACUUUUUGACCUUUUCGGUGGGUCGCUUACUUCACCUUAUUCUCGGACACUUUACUAUUAAUAUUCGCCUGUUCCCCUCGUCCCCUCAGUUGAUCCGCGCUGAUUCCCCUCAAUUCCUCCAUUCACUCAUCCUUACAGUACUGCUCCUCCGUCCUUCUCAACACAGCAGCACGCCACGCCACACCACUCUCACCCACUCACCCACUCACUCACGUACUCACUCACUAUACUUUACCCGUCACCCACACCGCUACUCUCACCCUCUCUCACAUUUUCU